GACGAACGCUGGCGGCGUGCUUAACACAUGCAAGUCGAACGGAAAGGCCCUGCUUUUGUGGGGUGCUCGAGUGGCGAACGGAUGAGUAACACGUGAGUAACCUGCCCUUGACUUUGGGAUAACUUCAGGAAACUGGGGCUAAUACCGGAUAGGAGCUCCUGCUGCAUGGUGGGGGUUGGAAAGUUUCGGCGGCUGGGGUUGGACUCGCGGCUUAUCAGCUUGUUGGUGGGGUAGUGGCUUACCAAGGCUUUGACGGGUAGCCGGCCUGAGAGGGUGACCGGCCACAUGGGGACUGAGAUACGGCCCAGACUCCUACGGGAGGCAGCAGUGGGGAAUAUUGCACAAUGGGCGGAAGCCUGAUGCAGCAACGCCGCGUGCGGGAUGACGGCCUUCGGGUUGUAAACCGCUUUCGCCUGUGACGAUGCGUGAGUGACGGUAAUGGGUAAAGAAGCACCGGCUAACUACGUG
Molecule: ribosomal RNA, 468 nt
Filed under: uncultured bacterium
Lineage: Bacteria
Description: partial 16S ribosomal RNA
Rfam family: Bacterial small subunit ribosomal RNA
Source: RNAcentral